This 253-nucleotide ribosomal RNA is filed under the name uncultured bacterium. Its description in RNAcentral is "partial 16S ribosomal RNA". It matches the Rfam family "Bacterial small subunit ribosomal RNA", at positions 524 to 776 of the family's 1533-position model. The record is from RNAcentral.
UACGUAGGGCGCAAGCGUUGUCCGGAAUUAUUGGGCGUAAAGAGCUCGUAGGCGGUUUGUCGCGUCUGCUGUGAAAACUCGAGGCUCAACCUCGGGCUUGCAGUGGGUACGGGCAGACUAGAGUGCGGUAGGGGUGACUGGAAUUCCUGGUGUAGCGGUGGAAUGCGCAGAUAUCAGGAGGAACACCAACGGCGAAGGCAGCUCGCUGGGACGGUACUGACGCUAAGGCGCGAAAGCGUGGGGAGCGAACAGG